This is a long non-coding RNA of Oncorhynchus keta (chum salmon), 655 nucleotides long. RefSeq lists it as uncharacterized. The record is from RefSeq and is a predicted model, not a curated record. Lineage: Eukaryota; Metazoa; Chordata; Actinopteri; Salmoniformes; Salmonidae. The transcript is spliced from 4 exons.
GAAGAAGUCAUUUUCAAGAUGGCGACGGCCUGUAGGACUGCAUUUGCGGGGGAAAAUGUAUUGUCGAAAAUGCGUCUUAUACAGAUGUCAUGCGUAUUUUCCAGAAGUUUAAAUCAGUUUUAUUUUAAUGAACGAAUGUAAGGGGUGCCCAGGAUUUCUAGCCGGGGAUGUGCUGCGAUCCAAAAUCCAGAAACUGGACAUAGCUGGUGUGUUUGGAAUGGCGUGCAGGCACAAGCAUCCGCUGAAAUUCCUGAACCUGAAGACGGGAGAGAAGUUUGUGGAUGGAAUGGAUGCUUCAGAUGUAUAGUUUACGUAUUUUAUUUAUGUAUGACAUUGGCUAUGAUGACUGAUGUUGAACUGUCAUUUCAAGGCUUGCAAAUACUGUGUUCUUACUGGGGACCUGAAAGCAAUGCAGGAACCAAACAUCUCAACGUUUCUUCACUAUGACAUUGCUAUGUCAGAAAAACAGUCCCGAUCUGAUGGUGGACCCCCCAUUUGCAGGCCAGCCUUUCAUGCCUAUGCUCGUAAUGCUGACUGUCAGGUCACUGAUUGUACCAGGUAUGUGACUGGUAGUGGGCUUGCUGACAGAGAACAGAUGGAGAGGUUGUUCUAAUUUGGAAAAUUUGAAAGAUCACAAAAGAGAUGACACCAUAUC